GCACAGCCAUAAACUUCGAUAGAAAUCUACAACCUCUAUCCGCCUGGGAACUACGAGCAUAAGCUUAAAACCCAAAGGACUUGGCGGUGCUUUAGACCCCCCUAGAGGAGCCUGUUCUAGAACCGAUAACCCCCGUUUGACCUCACCUUUUCUUGUCCACCCCGCCUAUAUACCGCCGUCGUCAGCAUACCCUGUGAAGGAAACAUAGUAAGCAAAACUGGUAAAACCCAAAACGCCAGGUCGAGGUGUAGCGCACGAAAAGGAAAGAAAUGGGCUACAUUUCCUUCCCCAGGAAAUACGAAUUGUGCCAUGAAACAACACAUGAAGGAGGAUUUAGCAGUAAGCAGAAAACAGAGCGUUCCGCUGAACCUGGCCCUGAAGCGCGC
Molecule: ribosomal RNA, 386 nt
Filed under: Xiphophorus variatus (variable platyfish)
Lineage: Eukaryota; Metazoa; Chordata; Actinopteri; Cyprinodontiformes; Poeciliidae
Description: partial 12S ribosomal RNA
Rfam family: Bacterial small subunit ribosomal RNA
Source: RNAcentral